RNAcentral lists this ribosomal RNA (915 nucleotides) under Micrococcus luteus. RNAcentral's name for it is "bacterial SSU rRNA". It matches the Rfam family "Bacterial small subunit ribosomal RNA". The record is from RNAcentral. Lineage: Bacteria; Bacillati; Actinomycetota; Actinomycetes; Micrococcales; Micrococcaceae.
UUCUUUCCUUUUCGCUUUUUUGGUCCGGCCCCGGGCCCCCCCUUUUGGGGUUUUUUAAACCUCUCAGGAUGAACGCUGGCGGCGUGCUUAACACAUGCAAGUCGAACGAUGAAGCCCAGCUUGCUGGGUGGAUUAGUGGCGAACGGGUGAGUAACACGUGAGUAACCUGCCCUUAACUCUGGGAUAAGCCUGGGAAACUGGGUCUAAUACCGGAUAGGAGCGUCCACCGCAUGGUGGGUGUUGGAAAGAUUUAUCGGUUUUGGAUGGACUCGCGGCCUAUCAGCUUGUUGGUGAGGUAAUGGCUCACCAAGGCGACGACGGGUAGCCGGCCUGAGAGGGUGACCGGCCACACUGGGACUGAGACACGGCCCAGACUCCUACGGGAGGCAGCAGUGGGGAAUAUUGCACAAUGGGCGCAAGCCUGAUGCAGCGACGCCGCGUGAGGGAUGACGGCCUUCGGGUUGUAAACCUCUUUCAGUAGGGAAGAAGCGAAAGUGACGGUACCUGCAGAAGAAGCACCGGCUAACUACGUGCCAGCAGCCGCGGUAAUACGUAGGGUGCGAGCGUUAUCCGGAAUUAUUGGGCGUAAAGAGCUCGUAGGCGGUUUGUCGCGUCUGUCGUGAAAGUCCGGGGCUUAACCCCGGAUCUGCGGUGGGUACGGGCAGACUAGAGUGCAGUAGGGGAGACUGGAAUUCCUGGUGUAGCGGUGGAAUGCGCAGAUAUCAGGAGGAACACCGAUGGCGAAGGCAGGUCUCUGGGCUGUAACUGACGCUGAGGAGCGAAAGCAUGGGGAGCGAACAGGAUUAGAUACCCUGGUAGUCCAUGCCGUAAACGUUGGGCACUAGGUGUGGGGACCAUUCCACGGUUUCCGCGCCGCAGCUAACGCAUUAAGUGCCCCGCCUGGAGACCGACUUU